GUUCACAAAUCCUUGGAUUGGCUUGCUCUUGGGAGGAUUCCCCGGUGGACAUGCCAUAAGCCACACUAUCAGGAGGUUGUUAGCGCGAGAAUUCUUGAGUUCGAUCUCUAGCGUGCGUCACUACUAAGUGCUAAUAACAGAAUGUCAAGUGGAUUUCGACACACUCAGCCAUAACUAUGCAAAAACCUGCUUGUUUGACUGCGCCUGAUGAAACUAACCGGACUAGUACGACUUAGUGAGGACAUUAUAAAACGUUUCUCUCGAAAGCGUAUCCAAAUAAAACGAAAAAAGGCUAAGGGUUUAA
Long non-coding RNA from Nematostella vectensis (starlet sea anemone), 304 nucleotides. RefSeq lists it as uncharacterized. The transcript is spliced from 2 exons. NCBI's taxonomy places the organism in Eukaryota, Metazoa, Cnidaria, Anthozoa, Actiniaria, Edwardsiidae. The record is from RefSeq and is a predicted model, not a curated record.